Amphibalanus amphitrite is the source of this 2514-nucleotide RNA transcript. It is a transcript of the gene named translation initiation factor IF-2-like, with no coding region annotated. NCBI's taxonomy places the organism in Eukaryota, Metazoa, Arthropoda, Thecostraca, Balanomorpha, Balanidae. The transcript is spliced from 2 exons. The record is from RefSeq and is a predicted model, not a curated record.
AUUCUAAAUUACUCCAUCAUUCGGCAAUCCUUGACUUUCUUAAGUUUAUUUACCUUUGUUGCGAAACUAGCGAAGAAGGGACAUUGGUGAAAAAAAUUACUUGUUAAAUAAAUUAUUGAUUGGGAAAAUAUUAUGUUGUUCAUCACUCUCUGCCUCAUUGCAUUUGCUGGGAGCUCUUCAUGGAUAUCAGUAGAAAGUGCUACACCAGACCAGUCCCCCUCACCAGUCCGGACCAAGUAUUUUGUGAGGCAGUCAGGUCGAGACGGAGAGGAUGUUUCUGUUCUGGCCCUGCCAUUAUCAGCCAGUGAGGAGUCCUCAAACAGCCUAGCAAAUGAACCAGCAGGUCACAAUGUUGAAGCUGCAGCAGCUGGUGGUAAAGUACAGCUGCCUCUGACAGAUGUGAACCUGCUAAGUCAGGGAGACAUACAAAAUCCAUUACCUGAGCAGGGAGGUGACCAAUCACCAUCAGAGCUGGCAGAAAACGCUGAUACUUCAGAGGCUGGAUCUACCAACAAGCAAAGCCAGAGGCCCAUUUAUGGUACUGGGCAGGCAAAAGUCACCCUAGAAGAACCAUCUGAGAAGUCACCAGCCCUCUCCACCCCCUCUGAGCCAGGAUCUCCAGCCUUGACAGGCACAACAGCCACUGAGCUUGUCUCUCUGACUGAGCUCGACACUCGUGACCUGCCUGCGCGCGCCGAAGUCACGCCAUCCCCAGCCCAGCGGCCGGUCGCCGGCGCGGGGGAGCUGCCCGUCUCCCUGGACGGAGCCGCGGUGAUCGGACGCAGCCGACACAGGCCGGAGCCGGGUCUGGCUCCCUCGGAAAGGAAGCCCAGCAGUCGACGAAACGGCGUGCCACAGCUGGAGAUGCUCGAGAGCCGCUCCAAGCCCAGGAAGGGUGUGCCGGCGCCGCCGCAGCCGCCUGAACCGGCCCCGGACGUGGGCAAGCAAGGACAGAGCAGUCGAAGGACCGGUGUACCGGAUUUGGACAUGUUGGAAAACCUGUCCAAGCCAAGGAAGGGAGCACCGAAGCCGGGUCUGAAUGUGUCAGGAAGUGGACAAAGUAGCCGAAGGACCGGGGUUCCCGACCUGGAAAUGCUGGAAAACCUGUCCAAGCCGCGGAAGGGAGCACCAGAGCCGGGGUUGGUUGUAUCAGGGAGCGGAAAGAGUACAGGUAGAACCGGAGUGCCUGAUCUGGAAAUGCUCGAGAGCCUGUCAAAGCCGAGAAAGGGCGCACCAGAGCCGGGUUUGAGUGUGUCAGGGAGAGGACAAAGUGCUGGUAGAUCCGGGGUGCCGGAUUUGGACAUGCUUGAGAGCCUGUCGAAGCCAAGGAAGGGUGCACCAGAGUUGGAUCUUACUGUAUCAGGGAGUGGUAGAAUUACUGGUAGAACCGGAGUGCCCGAUUUGGAGAUGUUGGAGAAUCCUUCCAAGCCGAGGAAGGGCGUUCCGGAGCCGCCGCCGGGGUGGGACGGGUCGGCGGCGGGGGGCGAUGGUGCGGCGGGCACGCACCGGCUGUCGGAGGAGGGCGCCGCGGCGCUCACCAACCUGGCCAAGGCGCGCGCGGCCGUCAUCGUGGGCUCCGUGUUCGGCGUGCUGUCGCUGCUCGUGCUGGCCUGGUACGGUGUGCGGCGCGUGACCGACAGCUGGCAGCACAGACACUACCGCAAAAUGGACUUCCUCGUCGACGGCAUGUACAAUAUGUGAGCGGCCCGCCGCCGCCGCCGCGUCCGCCGGCCGUACAUCGGGUGGCCGGCACCUCGAGCUUUGUGUCCGAGCGCGGGCACGUUAGGGUAGCGUUGGUGUUAUUUUUGUAUAUCCUGUGUGCUUUGGCGGCUUGUCUAGCCAGCGCGAGGCGCCGCUCACUAAACAAACCUGUGAUAUUGAGAUUUGUACCGUUACUACUGAAUACUCGUCCCGCACUGAAGUGUGUGCUUUGAACACUAUUGCCCGUGUCACACGUUGCACCCCCGUUGAGAGUUGGUGCAUCGAAGCACGUGUUUUUCUUAUAUACAAUGGGUGCCGAUUCCACUUAGCAUGAAAUAUUUUAUCGUUCUGCACAACGGCAUUCUGGCGAUGUGCUGAAUUAGUGCAACUUUUUUACCGUUCGUUCCAUAAUGGCAAUUGCCAGCCUGCUCAGCUUCGGGGUCUGUGUGUAUCCGCUUGAGAUCUGAUAUGAACUACCAUUCGGCAAAUAUCUUCUACAUUCCCCGUCGGGGCUAAGAUUGGUCACUGUGCGCGCGGUCCCCGUCCGCAGCACAGCGGUCUGUUCCGACCGGCCAGCGCCGCUCUACGUGCCGAUUGUACCGGGUGUGUAGACUGUAAUGUGUGUACGCACGGUGAGCAAUGUUUAUACACACGACCGGCCGGUAGUUUAGCGCUGUCAUACACGCGUCAUUUGCUCCCGUCGGUGUGGAGCUCGCCGUCCGAGUGUAUCGUACAAGCAGCCUGUCCGGGAACGGCGGAGUUGCCGUGACCAAGGACCAACAUCCACGUACAAUAAAUGCACGUUAUUACCAA